UACGUAGGGGGCUAGCGUUAUCCGGAAUUACUGGGCGUAAAGGGUGCGUAGGUGGUUUCUUAAGUCAGAAGUGAAAGGCUACGGCUCAACCGUAGUAAGCUUUUGAAACUAAGAGACUUGAGUGCAGGAGAGGAGAGUAGAAUUCCUAGUGUAGCGGUCAAAUGCGUAGAUAUUAGGAGGAAUACCAGUUGCGAAGGCGGCUCUCUGGACUGUAACUGACACUGAGGCACUAAAGCGUGGGGAGCAAACAGG
RNAcentral lists this ribosomal RNA (252 nucleotides) under uncultured bacterium. Its description in RNAcentral is "partial 16S ribosomal RNA". It matches the Rfam family "Bacterial small subunit ribosomal RNA", at positions 524 to 776 of the family's 1533-position model. The record is from RNAcentral.